RNAcentral lists this ribosomal RNA (253 nucleotides) under uncultured bacterium. RNAcentral's name for it is "partial 16S ribosomal RNA". It matches the Rfam family "Bacterial small subunit ribosomal RNA", at positions 524 to 776 of the family's 1533-position model. The record is from RNAcentral.
UACGUAGGAGGCGAGCGUUGUCCGGAAUCACUGGGCGUAAAGCGCGUGUAGGCGGGAAGGCAAGUCUGCUGCGAAAGCGCCUGGCUUAACCGGGCGAGGUCGGCGGAAACUGCUUACCUGGAGGACGGUAGAGGGGGGUGGAAUUCCCGGUGUAGUGGUGAAAUGCGUAGAUAUCGGGAGGAACACCAGUGGCGAAGGCGGCUUCCUGGCCUGUUCUUGACGCUGAGGCGCGAAAGCUAGGGGAGCAAACGGG